RNAcentral lists this ribosomal RNA (322 nucleotides) under uncultured fungus. RNAcentral describes it as "eukaryotic LSU rRNA". The stretch from base 267 to 322 matches the Rfam family "Eukaryotic large subunit ribosomal RNA", at positions 1 to 56 of the family's 3401-position model. Lineage: Eukaryota; Fungi. The record is from RNAcentral.
GUGAGUCAUCGAGUCUUUGAACGCGAAUGGCACUGUUACGCAAGUAGCAGUAUGUCUGUUUGAGAAUCGCAAAACAAGAUCAACUCUAGUUGAGAGUUGGGAUUGGCCUCAUGUACCUUUGGGUGUAUUUGGCUUGAAUGCAUCGAGUUGAUGAGCUCCCCAAUGCGGCUCAAUGUGUGCUAGCGAGACAGUCGUCCCGAUCUCACAUUUCCGCCGCGUUGCAGAGUUCUACGCACAACCCGCCAACAUAUAUUUAUCAACAAAUACGAUCUCAAAUCAGGCAAGAUUACCCGCUGAACUUAAGCAUAUCAAUAAGCGGAGG